RNAcentral lists this transfer RNA (88 nucleotides) under Alphaproteobacteria bacterium. Its description in RNAcentral is "tRNA-Ser". It matches the Rfam family "tRNA". From Rfam's summary of the family: Transfer RNA (tRNA) molecules are approximately 80 nucleotides in length. The record is from RNAcentral. Lineage: Bacteria; Pseudomonadati; Pseudomonadota; Alphaproteobacteria.
GGAGAGGUGGCCGAGCGGUUUAAGGCGCACGCUUGGAAAGCGUGUGUAGGCUUAUACCCUACCGAGGGUUCGAAUCCCUCCCUCUCCU